Molecule: ribosomal RNA, 493 nt
Filed under: uncultured bacterium
Lineage: Bacteria
Description: partial 16S ribosomal RNA
Rfam family: Bacterial small subunit ribosomal RNA
Source: RNAcentral
GACGAACGCUGGCGGCGUGCCUAAUACAUGCAAGUUGAGCGACGAACCAGGGCUUGCCCUGGGGCAAAGCAGCGAACGGGUGAGUAACAAGUGGGUAACCUACCCCGAUAACCGGGACAACCCGAGGAAACUCGGGCUAAUACCGGAUGUGCUCACUGGACUUCGGUUCAGUGCGUAAAGGAAGCUUCGGCCUCCGUAUCGGGAGGGGCCCGCGGCCCAUUAGUUUGUUGGUGAGGUAACGGCUCACCAAGACCGCGAUGGGUAGCUGGUCUGAGAGGACGAUCAGCCACACUGGGACUGAGACACGGCCCAGACUCCUACGGGAGGCAGCAGUGGGGAAUCUUGCGCAAUGCGCGAAAGCGUGACGCAGCAACGCCGCGUGGGGGAAGAAGGCCUUCGGGUUGUAAACCCCUUUCAGGAGGGACGAAGGUUCGGCGGUGAAUAGCCGUCCGGACUGACGGUACCUCCACAAGAAGCCCCGGCUAACUACGUG